AGAAUCAACGCUGGCGGCGUGCCUCAGACAUGCAAGUCGAACGCGAAAGUCCCCUUCGGGGGACAAGUAGAGUGGCGCACGGGGUGAGUAACACGUAGGUAAUCUACCUUCGGAUGGGGAAUAACAAUCGGAAACGGUUGCUAAUACCGCAUAAUGCAGCGGCACCUAAUGGUGACAGUUGUUAAAGCGGGGGAUCGAAAGACCUCGCGUCUGAAGAGGAGCCUGCGGCGGAUUAGCUAGUUAGGUAAGGUAAUGGCUUACCAAGGCGAACGAUCC
RNAcentral lists this ribosomal RNA (276 nucleotides) under uncultured soil bacterium. RNAcentral describes it as "partial 16S ribosomal RNA". It matches the Rfam family "Bacterial small subunit ribosomal RNA", at positions 26 to 282 of the family's 1533-position model. The record is from RNAcentral.